UACGUAGGGGGCAAGCGUUGUCCGGAUUUAUUGGGCGUAAAGAGCGUGUAGGCGGCCAUACAGGUCCGUUGUGAAAACUGGAGGCUUAACCUCCAGACGUCGAUGGAAACCGUAUGGCUAGAGUCCGGAAGAGGAGAGUGGAAUUCCUGGUGUAGCGGUGAAAUGCGCAGAUAUCAGGAAGAACACCCGUGGCGAAGGCGGCUCUCUGGGACGGUACUGACGCGAGACGCGAAAGCGUGGGGAGCGAACAGG
Molecule: ribosomal RNA, 252 nt
Filed under: uncultured bacterium
Lineage: Bacteria
Description: partial 16S ribosomal RNA
Rfam family: Bacterial small subunit ribosomal RNA
Source: RNAcentral